CUAUGAUUCUAUGAUUCUAAAUGUGACUGUUACCUCACAGCUGUUCAUCUGCUGUCAAUAGUCCCAUCAACUCCACUGCUGCCUCAAAUUCUUUGUUCCGUACACACAAAAAAGGCAGCUCUGAAGUCUAUAGAGCAAUCGUAGCUGCAGAUUUGUGUGUGCCUGCAUGUGCACGACAUGUGUGCAUGUGCAUGCAGCAGGAGAGCCAGCAGCAGAGGGCAAGGAGGGACAGCAUUUCGUUGCUGCUGCUAAAAGAAGCCUGAAACAAAUGCAGUGAACUCUGCGUUCCAGCAUACAGCUGUGUAAACUAAAACUGCAGGCCUGUUCUCGUGUGGCCAGUUACUUACAGAAAACAAGUGAGGCAGCUUUCUCGAGGGACUUGAAGAGGAAGGUGGUUGAAUGACAAAGGAGAAAGAGAAUGGUUCAAGGAAGAAGGAAAAGGCUGGUGAGGAGAUGGCUCAGGAGCAGGGAACCAUCAGGUUUUUACCCAAAAGAGCAUGUUGAAUUAUAAGCAUAUAGUAAUGGAAGACAAGAAGAAACACAAUGAGUGGGUUUAUUGCAUCUAGAUGUAGAUAACUAUGGGAUGAACAUCCCCAGCUGCCCUAAUUGCCAACUGUUUUUAUAGUCACUACUAAAGGUCGGUCUUCCUGUGGCCAGAUUCAUCUUUCCACCACUUCCCUUGUUAGCAGCCAGCACUAAUGGGAAAAAGAGAGCAGGGUUUGUGAACGACUGUCUCUGAGAAACCUCCCACAGUGACAAAGCUGACACGAGGAAACAUCAGCUUUCUGCUUUAGUACAAGCAGAAUGGAGCUCAGCUAGCAUCCCUUGUGCUUGCACGUAGAUGAGCAAGUCUACUAAUGAGACAUCUGCACAGCCCUCCCCUCACUUCCUUUUGGUUUGAUUCCAACUGCCAGAGCUACAGCUCUGUGAGUUAACUGAAGAAUGGUGAUGAUGGAUUUAACUAUCCCAAACACUACCAGGGCAUUUCCCAAAGAUGAUGUCAACUGUGCUGUAAUUAUUAAAAGAGCAACUGUUCCAUACAAGCAGUUUAAUGUGAGACUUAUGGGUCACAGACUAUGAGAGUCCAGAGUAUUUAAAGCACGAGGGAAAAUACACUUGAAAAAAUCCAUUUUGAAUCAACUAAUUUUAAACCCCACAGGGACUAAAGUAAUUUAGCCAUUAAUUCCCAUAGCACUAACAUUAAAGUACUGUUCCCAGCUGAAAAUGUACAUUGCUG
Molecule: long non-coding RNA, 1237 nt
Organism: Phasianus colchicus (ring-necked pheasant)
Lineage: Eukaryota; Metazoa; Chordata; Aves; Galliformes; Phasianidae
Source: RefSeq, a predicted model, not a curated record